CCUCUGGCUAUAGGAAAUUGUUAGUGGCAGACGGGUGAGUAAUGCGUAGGAAUCUACCUAGUAGUACGGAAUAGCCAUUAGAAAUGGUGGGUAAUACUGUAUAAUCCCCGAGGGGGAAAGAUUUAUCGCUAUUAGAUGAGCCUACGUUAGAUUAGCUAGUUGGUGAGGUAAUGGCUUACCAAGGCUAUGAUCUAUAGCUGGUCUGAGAGGACGAUCAGCCACACUGGAACUGAGAUACGGUCCAGACUCCUACGGGAGGCAGCAGUGGGGAAUAUUGGACAAUGGGCGAAAGCCUGAUCCAGCUAUGCCGCGUGAGUGAAGAAGGCCUUCGGGUUGUAAAACUCUUUCAAUAGGGAAGAUAAUGACGGUACCUAUAA
This 377-nucleotide ribosomal RNA is filed under the name uncultured Ehrlichia sp. RNAcentral's name for it is "bacterial SSU rRNA". It matches the Rfam family "Bacterial small subunit ribosomal RNA", at positions 74 to 484 of the family's 1533-position model. The record is from RNAcentral. Lineage: Bacteria; Pseudomonadati; Pseudomonadota; Alphaproteobacteria; Rickettsiales; Anaplasmataceae.